Molecule: long non-coding RNA, 566 nt
Filed under: Phasianus colchicus (ring-necked pheasant)
Lineage: Eukaryota; Metazoa; Chordata; Aves; Galliformes; Phasianidae
Description: lncRNA (ENSPCLG00000007797.1)
Source: RNAcentral
UUGCGGGACUAAUUUCUUUUCAAUUAAUUUUUAAACUGAGCAUGGCCUGAAAUCAUUUUGAAUUACUGAUAGACUGAGUGAAGGAACAUGGACAUUUCACUAGGAAGCAUGCCAUACUGUAUAUUUUAAUACUCAUAAUAAAUAAGCCUGAAAAGAGUGCAUAUUUACAUUUUCUAGAAUUAUAUAUUUUUUUCCUUUCCCUCCUAUUCAGAAAGGAAAUGUGUGAUAAACUUGGAAAGAAAAAGACAAAAUAUCACUUGUAAAUCACAUUAAAGGACAAGUACCAAGCUUGAUGUAAACAAGCUUCUCCCUUCUAAUACAGGAGUCAUCUGCCAAACAAAGUAAUGCCCACUCCUACACACGGUACUCACCUUUUCCAUGGCUACCUGCACUUCAAGACCAGGUCUGGAUUCUGGACCUGUAUCCAUAUAAAUACUCAUUCAAGUAAAGACUUGGAUGUAUUGAAAUCCAAAGUGGAAAAUCCUGGAGCAGUUCAACGUCUCAUCUGCCUCUCCAGACAUAGUCUUUCAAACUUCUGGAAUUCAUCUGCCUCGCUGGAAGACUGA